Molecule: transfer RNA, 65 nt
Filed under: Furnarius figulus
Lineage: Eukaryota; Metazoa; Chordata; Aves; Passeriformes; Furnariidae
Description: tRNA-Ser
Source: RNAcentral
GAGGGGGGUUCAACCAACAAGAACUGCUAAUUCUUGCAUCUGAGCCUAAAAUCUCAGCCCCCUUG